This 72-nucleotide transfer RNA is filed under the name Priestia megaterium. Its description in RNAcentral is "tRNA-Gly". It matches the Rfam family "tRNA". Rfam says of the family: Transfer RNA (tRNA) molecules are approximately 80 nucleotides in length. Their secondary structure includes four short double-helical elements and three loops (D, anti-codon, and T loops). The record is from RNAcentral. Lineage: Bacteria; Bacillati; Bacillota; Bacilli; Caryophanales; Bacillaceae. RNAcentral also lists the same sequence under 3 other names.
GCGGAAGUAGUUCAGUGGUAGAACACCACCUUGCCAAGGUGGGGGUCGCGAGUUCGAGCCUCGUCUUCCGCU